RNAcentral lists this ribosomal RNA (229 nucleotides) under uncultured bacterium. RNAcentral's name for it is "partial 16S ribosomal RNA". It matches the Rfam family "Bacterial small subunit ribosomal RNA", at positions 568 to 796 of the family's 1533-position model. The record is from RNAcentral.
UGCGCAGGCGGAAUAAUAAGUCAGUGGUGAAAGCCCACAGCUCAACUGUGGAAUUGCCAUUGAUACUGUUAUUCUUGAAUAUAGUUGAAGUUAGCGGAAUGUAUCAUGUAGCGGUGAAAUGCAUAGAUAUGAUACAGAACACCAAUUGCGAAGGCAGCUAACUAAGCUAUUAAUGACGCUCAGGCACGAAAGCGUGGGGAGCAAACAGGAUUAGAUACACUGGUAGUCC